Molecule: long non-coding RNA, 5997 nt
Organism: Gavialis gangeticus (Gharial)
Lineage: Eukaryota; Metazoa; Chordata; Crocodylia; Gavialidae
Exons: 3
Source: RefSeq, a predicted model, not a curated record
ACUAUCUCCUCCCUUCUUCCUGAUUAUUAUUUGUUGUUGUUGUUAGGGCAUUCAUGGGGGUGAUGUAGGUUGAAAUACCUUAAGUUGUAGGAGAGAAUUGAAUUUGUCCCUCCCAAGUUCUAACUCCAAAACUCUACCUCCUUCCACAGAUUUGUGAAAAUCAAGCUUUUCAUUUAUUUUGUUUUCGUUACAGCUGCUCAAAGUGAAAUGCUUUGUUUCAAGAAUUAAAUUUUGUGGGGGUUUUGUUUUGUUUCAGUGUGAAAAAACAAAAAGGUUAAAUCUUGGUUUGGGCUGAACUAUUUGUGUUGGUUUUUUUUCAGUUUGGUUGCUGAGUCAAAAGAAUCAGUCCUAAUCUGGAAAUUUGUAGCAUUCUUCUGGAUUAGAAUAGCCUUUUGUAGCUUCAGAAAAUCCUCCUGUUAGCCACAUCCUCCUCCUUAAUAGCAUAGGCAUUCAGGUCACAGCAAAGAACAGAACAAGUUCUUAUUGAUUAGGCUUACAGAGACACUUCACACUUUUCCUCAUAAUAGGGAAAAUAUUUUGAUGAACAAAUACUCAAAAGCUUGGGAGCUAACUGACAUUUGCCUGGGAGGCUUGUUUCUCAUCAACAGCCUGAAUAUACAUUGCCAGCUUGUGAUAAAGAGCAAGCCUUGCAAGGGAAGGUUGCACCACCAUGCUGGUGGGAAAUGCAAACCUGGAUGAUUAUGGGAGCAAGUGGAGCUAAUGAGACAACAGGGAAAGUUCAGAACAAGAAAAUUGCAUCAUAAUCUAGUCUUCAUCAAGGUUUACUUUAAAGUAUCCCUCCAGGGCUGGAUGACUAUUGGAUACAUUAGAGGGGAAGAGAACCUGAGGAAGAGAAGACAGGAAUGACUGGAGAAAACACAAUGAUCCCUGCAUGGGUCAUUGUAGUUUGUGGGGUUUUUUGUUUAUCUAUGGAUAGAUAAAUACAUACAUAAGCAGAUGUAUAGCGUAUGCUAGUGGGAUUAUUUUAUGUUUAUAUCAAAAAUUGCACCAGCCAAGUACAUCUUUCUUUGGUCGUUCUCUUAUAGUCCUGACAGCUCUUCUGUCUUUAGCCUUUUUUUGCAGACCUAGUUCAGCCCACAUUCUCAGGAAGUGUUCGCUGGAACUUGUGCAUUACUUGAUUAUCGAGAUUAACUUAUCUUUUCUUUUUUCCACUAAAGCACUAAGCAGCUCUUACAGAAAUGUAGGUGUGUUUGAGAAUUAUAAGAGUCUUUAAUUCUCAUACCAAACUACACCCACAGAAGUCAAUUCCAGUGCCAGUGAUUAAAGGUCAUGUGAAUGGCAAAAAGUAACAGCUGGCUGGACACUAAGAAGCAAGGAAUUAACACUGAUAAUGGCUUUAUGGCAUAUUGUAAUCUACCUGAUUCCUGAGUUUUUUCCAUAUGCGAAAGGUGGAGCUUUUUAUCUGUAAGAAGCUGUAUAGCAGGAGAAAAACAUGGCUGCUGGGAGUUGGAUCCCAUAGCAAGAAAACCUAUCUCUCUCUCUCCCCCCCCUUUUUUUUGUCAAAAUGGGCCAGCAGCAAAUGUGAGAAAUCUGAACUAAAGCUGUUUGGUACAGAAGUACUCAUGUGAAUUUGUGUAAGAUAGAAGAUAUGGUUGUUGCUGACUAAUAUCUGAUAUGACAGGUUGCAAUUAUAGGCCUCUCAGAGCAAUCUCUGCUUUGAGCCUCAUUCAAAUGAAAAAAAUCACAAGUAUUUUAGAGUUUGCAUUGUGUGGACCUGAUCAUUGUUUUCCGUGAAAAGUGGUGAAAAAACUGGAUUAAGCAUGGCUUAAAAUCCUAUUAUUACUGCUCUCAGUGAUUAAAAAAAAGUACCACAUUGGGUGUAUUUUGUAUUGUGUGAAAGCUACUGCCUCAUAUGAUGAGAAGAAAAAAUGUUAAUAGUGUAACGUAAGUUCGUUUUGUUUUGUGUUGAACCUGAAAAAUACUUAUGUCAAAUGCAGUAAGUCUGGAGACAAAAUGUUAGUGGUUUUCUCCAUAACCCUGAUGAUAAACUGUGCUUGCAAAAAGAUUUAUUUUAGGUUUUGAUUCUCAUGUCCUUUCACCUCUCUUUGAUUUAUAAUAAAGCUCCCAUCAGUGCCCCCUGGUGGGACCAUGCAGAAACAGUCAUCUUCCUAGGAAAGUGGUUAAGCAGUAGCAAGGUUACUGACUAAUAGCGGAGUAACUUCAUGUGUCAAGCCUUUGAAGCAAGCUUGGUCAGUUAUUCCCACACUGCAUUUUUCUUGCAUGUUUGAAUAGGAGGUAUUCAUAGUGAAGCACCAUCAGUCCGAGACCAAUAAAUAAAGGGGUGAGGCGAGAGCUAUAUAAAGGAAUGUAGUCCACUGAAUCCCUCUUAGUUCCUCAGACUCCCUACGUACUUGAACAUUUGGCUCCUUUUCCCAGUUCAGGAGCUGUACAAAGCCACAGAAUACCACAGAUACCAGAUUAGACCCAGAUUCUCCUCUUGGUUACAUGAGCAAAUGGGGAGUCAUUCCAGUGAAGCCAAUAGACUGAUUCUUGGUAAUACACUGAUGCAACUGGCUCGCAAAAUUAGUAGGAGCCUAGUUUGCUCAAAAAAUAAAUAAAAGAAACAAAACUAAAACAAUAAUUAAGUCCACAUUUUGGGUGCUAUUUAAAGACUUCAGUUCAGUCUCCAAAUUUGUGUUGGCAAUUUUAUACCUCUUUUUGUGUGUGCACAAACAAUUGUCCAAUAUGAACCAGCUCAAUAUUAGCCUGCCACAGUUUUUAUUCCCGGGCCAUUAUUUUAAUCUGUGUGCUUGUCUAAGCCUUGUAUUCAGUUUUCUAUCAUGGUAUCUGAGCUUCCAGGGUAGAUCGCACAGUGAUAGCAAUCGUAAAGACAGGGUGGAAAUUCAGUUUUUCUAGGUCUUUAGAACUACAGAAGCCUUGCUGCAAACUGCUCAACUCAUGAGCUUGAGCGAGUCAGGACCUAUCCUGAAAUUUCUUCACAAUGGCCAACAUCACCAAUUAUGUUCUACCUAACCCUAGCCCUGUGUGAUCAUGAAGAAAUUCAUUAAUUUUUUUAUCAGGGUAAUCUGUCUCAUGCCAGACAAUGAGUGUAUUUUGUUUGACUCAGUGACACUGGGAAAAGAAAUCAUUCUUAGAAUCAGGACUUCAUGGAGUUUCAACAGAGGCACAUACUUGUCAGGUAGUUGCUCGUUCUGAUGAGGCUCAAGCAUACGGCAUAUUUCACAUUACGAUGGUGACCCAAACUGUGGGAAACCACCAAAACAAACAGCAGCAGAGGAGCUGGAGGGAAAUUGAACCGUGGGAUUCACCGACUGAUUGAGCUCUCUCUGUUGUCAAUAACUGAUGGUGACAAGCUGUGAGUUAACAGUAGAUGUGUUCAGGGAGGAGAGGUAAAGUUUAGGUCUAAAUUGAACUCAUAACCUAUACAGAGCUACAGUUAUGAACCAUAAGACUGACUCAUUAUCUUAGUAUCUGUGUGUGGAUGGGGAGAAGUUGCUGUUAGUUCCAGUUAAAUAAUGUGCAUUUGACUCAUAGUGCUCUUGCUGAGUUGUAAUUAAAUAUUCAGGGAAGGCCAAUCUAGUACUGGGGUAAGAAAGCACAGUCCUGUUAUCAACUUGUUUUUACUUAGGUCAGGGCAGACUUUGGCUAAUGAGUUGUGCCCAGUUUAUUAUAGUAUUAUAUGGUGCGACUUUGCUGCAAGUCAUGCUCUAUAGCUGAGUAUCCAUUGUUGGAAUACAUGAAAAAAAGGAUGGCCUUCCUCUUCCUACAUAAAAGAAUGCCGUUCAACUACACCAUAGAAUGAUUCGUUAUUGAAGUACUAUACAGGAUCCCAAAUGGGAUUUAUACUUGCCUUGUUCUAAUUUAGAACAGAUUAAGUUCUAAGGAUGAAAGUACAGCUUAUAGAAUUUUUUUCUGAUAUAGGUUGUAUCACUUCCCAAAAUGAAAUAAACUGCCUCAGCAAUAUCACUUUUAUACUAUUAUAACUUCAUCUAGGGUAUUUGCCUGUACAGAAACGUCAUAAAAAAUCACUGCACUAGCUAACAGUAUUAUACUAGCCAAAGGUCCUAUAGUAGACCUAGUGUUUAUAAAUACAAUGCUAAAGGUCCAAUAGUGAACCCAUGUGUUGUUUCCCUGGACACCUCCUCAGUCUUUAAGAUACAGAAAUUAGAGCUAAGGGAAAAUUUCCCCAAUCACAGCAAAUAACUGUUUUAAAUGAGCCUUGAAAAUAUUUGGGGAGGUUCAUACCCAUAUGGGGUGCCUCUUAGUAGAGCGCUAUGGAGGUUUGUCUCUACAAAAGAUGUUUAGUUUAAUCCAGGACUGAAAAACAAAGGAUGUGCUGCUGCCACACUAAUUAAAAACAGAGCUAAUGUGUUGCUCAUGUGUACCAAUUUUUCCUGCAUUGUAAUGUAAAUGCUUUUUUAGAUGUGGAAAAAGUUUAUAAAAGAAUAUACUACAGAAAAACUUACAGGAAUCUGUACUCUUCAAAGAGACACUGGCAGUCUUUUAUGUAGAUACUCUGAUCAAAAUGGGCUUUGUACUUUCUAUAGGUAUGUGCCUCAGAUCCAACACCUGUCUAGAGAAUUAAAAAAUGCCAUUUGGAUUCAGCAAACAAAAUGAUAAUUAGGAGGUAGGGAAAGUUAAUGAAAAAUGAUGUACUGGAUGCUUUUCGGUUCUCACACUCAGACCCACAAACUAGAAAAAAUAGGAGACAAAAACCCCUCAAAUAACUAUAUGCAUUAAUUUAUAAAUGCAUACAGAGUUCAACUACUACUAUUGCUUUGAGCCAUUUCUGGAAGUUUCUAGAUCAUACAGCAUGGUGAGCAAUAUUACUACAAUUCCACUAUUUGAAGGGAUAUCACUCUAUAUGGUGUAUCUUUUUUUUAAGGGACUGUCUUAUACUUUUUGAAUCAAUUGAUAAAGUUGAAGGUGCAAUCACUUUUCCUCCUUUCAUGUCCUCAGAUACAUUUUUAGGAAUAAAAUUGGCUAUUAGCCCCCAUGUUUUAGCUAGGAUUACCAUAUUUCCAGUUUCAAAAAAGCGGACACCUGUGUGGACAUGUAGUAACCUUGCUCUAGCCCAAUUAUGGUUUGCAUCAUUAUAUUCAGAUUGAAUGCCUGCUUCUAAGGCUCCAUCACAGUAGUGAUCUGCUUGUCUGAAUCCCUCCUGCAGAUGCAACCAGGAUUUCUCACUUCCUGUCACAAACAUUGUGUGGUAUUGCUGUGGAAUAUUGUAGAGUUGCCACAUUUCAUCCUGGUGUUUGAUGUAGUCUAAUUUAAAACACACAAGCAGUGAUCUUCCGCCAUUUCCCUUGGCUUAUUCGAUGCUUUUCCUAAUUUUCAGACUAAAUAUUAUUUUCUUAAAUUGUGCCACAUUAAAUAUUCCCUUUCUACCUCUACUAUGUGUACCCUUCAAAUAUUUGUAGCUUAGUGUUAUCUCCCACCUUAAUCAAAAUACAACAUAUUUAUUAACUGUUCCUCAUAAAUCACUCUCUCCAGCUCUUUAAUCAAAUAGGCUGGUCAUCUCUGAAUUUCUUCCAAUCUUUCAGUACCUUUCAGGUGAUAUGCCCACAAAUUAAUGCAGUAUUCCAGAUGUGGUCAUACCAGAGCCAUAUAAAGCGGAAAUUUUACCUCCCUCUUCAUUGUGUGACAUUUUUAAAUAUCCAAAAUUUGAGUGAUUUUUUUUUUGUAGCCAUAUUACAUAAUGGUUGUCUCACUGUUUUCCUCCUUCUAUGUUCACUAUACUGAAAAAUAAAUGAAAAAAAUGUAUCUAAUUUCCUCUGCAUGUGCCUACAUCUAAGGCUCCAUCACAGUAGUAUUGUACCUGUCUAAAUUAGUUCUGCAGGUUCAGUUGGGAUUUCUCACUUCCUGUCACACACAUUGCCACUUUCAGCCCUGUGAAUGCUGAAUGUUUAAGGUGUCUUAAUACAUCUGUACAGGGGUGAGUUCAUGUUUUUUUCUGGACUCUUGCCAAGAGGCUGUCUCUAGUUACCCCAUCUGUAAAUGAAUACCUGGUUGUUU